This is a long non-coding RNA of Salvelinus fontinalis (brook trout), 14661 nucleotides long. RefSeq lists it as uncharacterized. The transcript is spliced from 3 exons. NCBI's taxonomy places the organism in Eukaryota, Metazoa, Chordata, Actinopteri, Salmoniformes, Salmonidae. The record is from RefSeq and is a predicted model, not a curated record.
AUCCUGUACUGCUGUCUCAAACAAAAAUAUGUAUUUUCAUCAAGUUUUGAUCACUGGGAAGUUGCUAAACAUGUUGCUGUUUGCUUUCAGUCGGGGACCGGUACACACGAUCAUGGUCUACAGCCGAGACAAAGCAGGAUAAUGCCCCGUGUCUCUCAUAGCGGAAUAAUGCCCCGUGUCUCUCAAAGCAGGAUAAUGCCCCGUGUCUCUCAAAGCAGGAUAAUGCCCCGUGUCUCUCUCAAAGCAGGAUAAUGCCCCGUGUCUCUCAAAGCAGGAUAAUGCCCCGUGUCUCUCUCAUAGCGGAAUAAUGCCCCGCGUCUCUCAAAGCAGGAUAAUGCCCCGUGUCUCUCAUAGCAGAAUAAUGCCCCGUGUCUCUCUCAAAGCAGAAUAAUGCCCCGUGUCUCUCUCAAAGCAGGAUAAUGCCCCGUGUCUCUCAAAGCAGGAUAAUGCCCCCGUCUCUCUCAAAGCGGAAUAAUGCCCCGUGUCUCUCAAAGCAGGAUAAUGCCCCCGUCUCUCUCAAAGCGGAAUAAUGCCCCGUGUCUCUCAAAGCGGAAUAAUGCCCCGUGUCUCUCAUAGCAGAAUAAUGCCCCGUGUCUCUCUCUCUCUCAAAGCAGAAUAAUGCCCCGUGUCUCUCUCUCAAAGCAGGAUAAUGCCCCGUGUCUCUCAAAGCAGGAUAAUGCCCCGUGUCUCUCAAAGCGGAAUAAUGCCCCGUGUCUCUCAAAGCGGAAUAAUGCCCCGUGUCUCUCUCAGCGGAAUAAUGCCCCGUGUCUCUCUCUCUCUCUCAAAGCAGAAUAAUGCCCCGCGUCUCUCUCUCAAAGCAGGAUAAUGCCCCGUGUCUCUCAAAGCGGAAUAAUGCCCCGUGUCUCUCAAAGCGGAAUAAUGCCCCGUGUCUCUCAAAGCGGAAUAAUGCCCCGUGUCUCUCAAAGCGGAAUAAUGCCCCGUGUCUCUCAAAGCGGAAUAAUGCCCCGUGUCUCUCAAAACAGGAUAAUGCCCCGUGUCUCUCAAAACAGGAUAAUGCCCCGUGUCUCUCAAAGCAGAAUAAUGCCCCGUGUCUCUCAAAGCAGAAUAAUGCCCCGUGUCUCUCAAAGCAGAAUAAUGCCCCGUGUCUCUCAAAGCAGAAUAAUGCCCCGUGUCUCUCUCAUAGCGGAAUAAUGCCCCGUGUCUCUCUCAUAGCGGAAUAAUGCCCCGUGUCUCUCAAAGCAGGAUAAUGCCCCGUGUCUCUCUCAAAGCGGAAUAAUGCCCCGCGUCUCUCAAAGCAGGAUAAUGCCCCGUGUCUCUCAUAGCAGAAUAAUGCCCCAUGUCUCUCUCAAAGCAGAAUAAUGCCCCGUGUCUCUCUCAAAGCAGGAUAAUGCCCCGUGUCUCUCAAAGCAGGAUAAUGCCCCCGUCUCUCUCAAAGCGGAAUAAUGCCCCGUGUCUCUCAAAGCAGGAUAAUGCCCCCGUCUCUCUCAAAGCGGAAUAAUGCCCCGUGUCUCUCAAAGCGGAAUAAUGCCCCGUGUCUCUCAUAGCAGAAUAAUGCCCCGUGUCUCUCUCUCUCUCAAAGCAGAAUAAUGCCCCGUGUCUCUCUCUCAAAGCAGGAUAAUGCCCCGUGUCUCUCAAAGCGGAAUAAUGCCCCGUGUCUCUCAAAGCGGAAUAAUGCCCCGUGUCUCUCAAAGCGGAAUAAUGCCCCGUGUCUCUCUCAGCGGAAUAAUGCCCCGUGUCUCUCUCUCUCUCUCAAAGCAGAAUAAUGCCCCGCGUCUCUCUCUCAAAGCAGGAUAAUGCCCCGUGUCUCUCAAAGCGGAAUAAUGCCCCGUGUCUCUCAAAGCGGAAUAAUGCCCCGUGUCUCUCAAAGCGGAAUAAUGCCCCGUGUCUCUCAAAACAGGAUAAUGCCCCGUGUCUCUCAAAACAGGAUAAUGCCCCGUGUCUCUCAAAGCAGAAUAAUGCCCCGUGUCUCUCAAAGCAGAAUAAUGCCCCGUGUCUCUCAAAGCAGAAUAAUGCCCCGUGUCUCUCAAAGCGGAAUAAUGCCCCGUGUCUCUCAAAGCGGAAUAAUGCCCCGUGUCUCUCAAAGCGGAAUAAUGCCCCGUGUCUCUCAAAGCGGAAUAAUGCCCCGUGUCUCUCAAAGCGGAAUAAUGCCCCGUGUCUCUCUCAUAGCGGAAUAAUGCCCCGUGUCUCUCUCAUAGCAGAAUAAUGCCCCGUGUCUCUCUCUCAUAGCAGAAUAAUGCCCCGUGUCUCUCAAAGCAGAAUAAUGCCCCGUGUCUCUCAAAGCAGAAUAAUGCCCCGUGUCUCUCAAAGCGGAAUAAUGCCCCGUGUCUCUCUCUCAUAGCAGAAUAAUGCCCCGUGUCUCUCAAAGCAGAAUAAAGCCCCGUCUCUCUCAAAGCAGGAUAAUCCCCCGUGUCUCUCAAAGCAGGAUAAUGCCCCGUGUCUCUCAUAGCAGAAUAAUGCCCCGUGUGUCUCAAAGCAGGAUAAUGUCCCGUGUGUCUCAAAGCAGGAUAAUGUCCCGUGUGUCUCAAAGCAGAAUAAUGCCCCGUGUCUCUCAAAGCAGAAUAAUGCCCCGUGUCUCUCAAAGCAGAAUAAUGCCCCGUGUCUCUCAAAGCAGAAUAAUGCCCCGUGUCUCUCAAAGCGGAAUAAUGCCCCGUGUCUCUCAAAGCGGAAUAAUGCCCCGUGUCUCUCAAAGCGGAAUAAUGCCCCGUGUCUCUCUCUCAAAGCGGAAUAAUGCCCCGUGUCUCUCUCUCUCUCAGCGGAAUAAUGCCCCGUGUCUCUCUCUCAAAGCGGAAUAAUGCCCCGUGUCUCUCUCUCAAAGCGGAAUAAUGCCCCGUGUCUCUCUCUCAAAGCGGAAUAAUGCCCCGUGUCUCUCUCUCAAAGCGGAAUAAUGCCCCGUGUCUCUCUCUCAAAGCGGAAUAAUGCCCCGUGUCUCUCUCUCAAAGCGGAAUAAUGCCCUGUGUCUCUCUCUCAAAGCGGAAUAAUGCCCCGUCUCUCUCUCAAAGCGGAAUAAUGCCCCGUCUCUCUCUCAAAGCGGAAUAAUGCCCCGUCUCUCUCUCAAAGCGGAAUAAUGCCCCGUGUCUCUCUCUCUCAAAGCGGAAUAAUGCCCCGUGUCUCUCUCUCUCAAAGCGGAAUAAUGCCCCGUGUCUCUCUCUCUCUCAGCGGAAUAAUGCCCCGUGUCUCUCUCAAAGCGGAAUAAUGCCCCGUGUCUCUCUCUCAAAGCGGAAUAAUGCCCCGUGUCUCUCUCUCAAAGCGGAAUAAUGCCCCGUGUCUCUCUCUCAAAGCGGAAUAAUGCCCCGUGUCUCUCUCUCUCAAAGCGGAAUAAUGCCCCGUGUCUCUCAAAGCGGAAUAAUGCCCCGUGUCUCUCUCAAAGCGGAAUAAUGCCCCGUGUCUCUCUCAAAGCGGGAUAAUGUCCCGUGUCUCUCUCAAAGCAGGAUAAUGUCCCGUGUCUCUCAUAGCAGAAUAAUGUCCCGUGUCUCUCAAAACAGGAUAAUGCCCCGUGUCUCUCAAAGAAGGAUAAUGCCCCGUCUCUCUCAAAGCGGAAUAAUGCCCCGUCUCUCUCAAAGCGGAAUAAUGCCCCGUCUCUCUCAAAGCGGAAUAAUGCCCAGUGUCUCUCUCAAAGCGGAAUAAUGCCCAGUGUCUCUCUCUCAAAGCGGAAUAAUGCCCAGUGUCUCUCUCUCAAAGCGGAAUAAUGCCCCGUGUCUCUCUCUCUCAGCGGAAUAAUGCCCCGUGUCUCUCUCUCAAAGCGGAAUAAUGCCCCGUGUCUCUCUCUCAGCGGAAUAAUGCCCCGUGUCUCUCUCUCAAAGCGGAAUAAUGCCCCGUGUCUCUCUCUCUCAGCGGAAUAAUGCCCCGUGUCUCUCUCUCUCAGCGGAAUAAUGCCCCGUGUCUCUCUCUCUCAGCGGAAUAAUGCCCCGUGUCUCUCUCUCUCAGCGGAAUAAUGCCCCGUGUCUCUCUCUCUCUCAAAGCGGAAUAAUGCCCCGUGUCUCUCUCUCUCAAAGCGGAAUAAUGCCCCGUGUCUCUCUCUCUCAGCGGAAUAAUGCCCCGUGUCUCUCUCUCUCAGCGGAAUAAUGCCCCGUGUCUCUCUCUCUCAAAGCGGAAUAAUGCCCCGUGUCUCUCUCUCUCAAAGCGGAAUAAUGCCCCGUGUCUCUCUCUCUCAAAGCGGAAUAAUGCCCCGUGUCUCUCUCUCAAAGCGGAAUAAUGCCCCGUGUCUCUCUCUCAAAGCGGAAUAAUGCCCCGUGUCUCUCUCUCAAAGCGGAAUAAUGCCCCGUGUCUCUCUCUCAAAGCGGAAUAAUGCCCCGUGUCUCUCAAAGCGGAAUAAUGCCCCGUGUCUCUCUCAGCGGAAUAAUGCCCCGUGUCUCUCUCUCUCUCUCAAAGCAGAAUAAUGCCCCGCGUCUCUCUCUCAAAGCAGGAUAAUGCCCCGUGUCUCUCAAAGCGGAAUAAUGCCCCGUGUCUCUCAAAGCGGAAUAAUGCCCCGUGUCUCUCAAAGCGGAAUAAUGCCCCGUGUCUCUCAAAACAGGAUAAUGCCCCGUGUCUCUCAAAACAGGAUAAUGCCCCGUGUCUCUCAAAGCAGAAUAAUGCCCCGUGUCUCUCAAAGCAGAAUAAUGCCCCGUGUCUCUCAAAGCAGAAUAAUGCCCCGUGUCUCUCAAAGCAGAAUAAUGCCCCGUGUCUCUCAAAGCGGAAUAAUGCCCCGUGUCUCUCAAAGCGGAAUAAUGCCCCGUGUCUCUCAAAGCGGAAUAAUGCCCCGUGUCUCUCAAAGCGGAAUAAUGCCCCGUGUCUCUCUCAAAGCGGAAUAAUGCCCCGUGUCUCUCUCAAAGCGGAAUAAUGCCCCGUGUCUCUCUCUCUCAAAGCGGAAUAAUGCCCCGUGUCUCUCUCUCUCAAAGCGGAAUAAUGCCCCGUGUCUCUCUCUCUCAAAGCGGAAUAAUGCCCCGUGUCUCUCUCUCUCUCAGCGGAAUAAUGCCCCGUGUCUCUCUCAAAGCGGAAUAAUGCCCCGUGUCUCUCUCUCAAAGCGGAAUAAUGCCCCGUGUCUCUCUCUCAAAGCGGAAUAAUGCCCCGUGUCUCUCUCUCAAAGCGGAAUAAUGCCCCGUGUCUCUCUCUCAAAGCGGAAUAAUGCCCCGUGUCUCUCAAAGCGGAAUAAUGCCCCGUGUCUCUCUCAAAGCGGAAUAAUGCCCCGUGUCUCUCUCAAAGCGGGAUAAUGUCCCGUGUCUCUCUCAAAGCAGGAUAAUGUCCCGUGUCUCUCAUAGCAGAAUAAUGUCCCGUGUCUCUCAAAACAGGAUAAUGCCCCGUGUCUCUCAAAGAAGGAUAAUGCCCCGUCUCUCUCAAAGCGGAAUAAUGCCCCGUCUCUCUCAAAGCGGAAUAAUGCCCCGUCUCUCUCAAAGCGGAAUAAUGCCCAGUGUCUCUCUCAAAGCGGAAUAAUGCCCAGUGUCUCUCUCUCAAAGCGGAAUAAUGCCCAGUGUCUCUCUCUCAAAGCGGAAUAAUGCCCCGUGUCUCUCUCAGCGGAAUAAUGCCCCGUGUCUCUCUCUCAAAGCGGAAUAAUGCCCCGUGUCUCUCUCUCAGCGGAAUAAUGCCCCGUGUCUCUCUCUCAAAGCGGAAUAAUGCCCCGUGUCUCUCUCUCUCAGCGGAAUAAUGCCCCGUGUCUCUCUCUCUCAGCGGAAUAAUGCCCCGUGUCUCUCUCUCUCAGCGGAAUAAUGCCCCGUGUCUCUCUCUCUCAGCGGAAUAAUGCCCCGUGUCUCUCUCUCUCUCAAAGCGGAAUAAUGCCCCGUGUCUCUCUCUCUCAAAGCGGAAUAAUGCCCCGUGUCUCUCUCUCUCAGCGGAAUAAUGCCCCGUGUCUCUCUCUCUCAGCGGAAUAAUGCCCCGUGUCUCUCUCUCUCAAAGCGGAAUAAUGCCCCGUGUCUCUCUCUCUCAAAGCGGAAUAAUGCCCCGUGUCUCUCUCUCUCAAAGCGGAAUAAUGCCCCGUGUCUCUCUCUCAAAGCGGAAUAAUGCCCCGUGUCUCUCUCUCAAAGCGGAAUAAUGCCCCGUGUCUCUCUCUCAAAGCGGAAUAAUGCCCCGUGUCUCUCUCUCAAAGCGGAAUAAUGCCCCGUGUCUCUCAAAGCGGAAUAAUGCCCCGUGUCUCUCUCAGCGGAAUAAUGCCCCGUGUCUCUCUCUCUCUCUCAAAGCAGAAUAAUGCCCCGCGUCUCUCUCUCAAAGCAGGAUAAUGCCCCGUGUCUCUCAAAGCGGAAUAAUGCCCCGUGUCUCUCAAAGCGGAAUAAUGCCCCGUGUCUCUCAAAGCGGAAUAAUGCCCCGUGUCUCUCAAAACAGGAUAAUGCCCCGUGUCUCUCAAAACAGGAUAAUGCCCCGUGUCUCUCAAAGCAGAAUAAUGCCCCGUGUCUCUCAAAGCAGAAUAAUGCCCCGUGUCUCUCAAAGCAGAAUAAUGCCCCGUGUCUCUCAAAGCAGAAUAAUGCCCCGUGUCUCUCAAAGCGGAAUAAUGCCCCGUGUCUCUCAAAGAGGAAUAAUGCCCCGUGUCUCUCAAAGCGGAAUAAUGCCCCGUGUCUCUCAAAGCGGAAUAAUGCCCCGUGUCUCUCUCAUAGCGGAAUAAUGCCCCGUGUCUCUCUCAUAGCAGAAUAAUGCCCCGUGUCUCUCUCUCAUAGCAGAAUAAUGCCCCGUGUCUCUCAAAGCAGAAUAAUGCCCCGUGUCUCUCAAAGCAGAAUAAUGCCCCGUGUCUCUCAAAGCGGAAUAAUGCCCCGUGUCUCUCUCUCAUAGCAGAAUAAUGCCCCGUGUCUCUCAAAGCAGAAUAAAGCCCCGUCUCUCUCAAAGCAGGAUAAUCCCCCGUGUCUCUCAAAGCAGGAUAAUGCCCCGUGUCUCUCAUAGCAGAAUAAUGCCCCGUGUGUCUCAAAGCAGGAUAAUGUCCCGUGUGUCUCAAAGCAGGAUAAUGUCCCGUGUGUCUCAAAGCAGAAUAAUGCCCCGUGUCUCUCAAAGCAGAAUAAUGCCCCGUGUCUCUCAAAGCAGAAUAAUGCCCCGUGUCUCUCAAAGCAGAAUAAUGCCCCGUGUCUCUCAAAGCGGAAUAAUGCCCCGUGUCUCUCAAAGCGGAAUAAUGCCCUGUGUCUCUCAAAGCGGAAUAAUGCCCCGUGUCUCUCUCUCAAAGCGGAAUAAUGCCCCGUGUCUCUCUCUCUCUCAGCGGAAUAAUGCCCCGUGUCUCUCUCUCAAAGCGGAAUAAUGCCCCGUGUCUCUCUCUCAAAGCGGAAUAAUGCCCCGUGUCUCUCUCUCAAAGCGGAAUAAUGCCCCGUGUCUCUCUCUCAAAGCGGAAUAAUGCCCCGUGUCUCUCUCUCAAAGCGGAAUAAUGCCCCGUGUCUCUCUCUCAAAGCGGAAUAAUGCCCCGUGUCUCUCUCUCAAAGCGGAAUAAUGCCCCGUCUCUCUCUCAAAGCGGAAUAAUGCCCCGUCUCUCUCUCAAAGCGGAAUAAUGCCCCGUCUCUCUCUCAAAGCGGAAUAAUGCCCCGUGUCUCUCUCUCUCAAAGCGGAAUAAUGCCCCGUGUCUCUCUCUCUCAAAGCGGAAUAAUGCCCCGUGUCUCUCUCUCUCUCAGCGGAAUAAUGCCCCGUGUCUCUCUCAAAGCGGAAUAAUGCCCCGUGUCUCUCUCUCAAAGCGGAAUAAUGCCCCGUGUCUCUCUCUCAAAGCGGAAUAAUGCCCCGUGUCUCUCUCUCAAAGCGGAAUAAUGCCCCGUGUCUCUCUCUCAAAGCGGAAUAAUGCCCCGUGUCUCUCAAAGCGGAAUAAUGCCCCGUGUCUCUCUCAAAGCGGAAUAAUGCCCCGUGUCUCUCUCAAAGCGGGAUAAUGUCCCGUGUCUCUCUCAAAGCAGGAUAAUGUCCCGUGUCUCUCAUAGCAGAAUAAUGUCCCGUGUCUCUCAAAACAGGAUAAUGCCCCGUGUCUCUCAAAGAAGGAUAAUGCCCCGUCUCUCUCAAAGCGGAAUAAUGCCCCGUCUCUCUCAAAGCGGAAUAAUGCCCCGUCUCUCUCAAAGCGGAAUAAUGCCCAGUGUCUCUCUCAAAGCGGAAUAAUGCCCAGUGUCUCUCUCUCAAAGCGGAAUAAUGCCCAGUGUCUCUCUCUCAAAGCGGAAUAAUGCCCCGUGUCUCUCUCUCUCAGCGGAAUAAUGCCCCGUGUCUCUCUCUCAAAGCGGAAUAAUGCCCCGUGUCUCUCUCUCAGCGGAAUAAUGCCCCGUGUCUCUCUCUCAAAGCGGAAUAAUGCCCCGUGUCUCUCUCUCUCAGCGGAAUAAUGCCCCGUGUCUCUCUCUCUCAGCGGAAUAAUGCCCCGUGUCUCUCUCUCUCAGCGGAAUAAUGCCCCGUGUCUCUCUCUCUCAGCGGAAUAAUGCCCCGUGUCUCUCUCUCUCUCAAAGCGGAAUAAUGCCCCGUGUCUCUCUCUCUCAAAGCGGAAUAAUGCCCCGUGUCUCUCUCUCUCAGCGGAAUAAUGCCCCGUGUCUCUCUCUCUCAAAGCGGAAUAAUGCCCCGUGUCUCUCUCUCUCAAAGCGGAAUAAUGCCCCGUGUCUCUCUCUCUCAAAGCGGAAUAAUGCCCCGUGUCUCUCUCUCUCAAAGCGGAAUAAUGCCCCGUGUCUCUCUCUCAAAGCGGAAUAAUGCCCCGUGUCUCUCUCUCAAAGCGGAAUAAUGCCCCGUGUCUCUCUCUCAAAGCGGAAUAAUGCCCCGUGUCUCUCUCUCAAAGCGGAAUAAUGCCCCGUGUCUCUCUCUCUCUCAGCGGAAUAAUGCCCCGUGUCUCUCUCUCAAAGCGGAAUAAUGCCCCGUGUCUCUCUCAAAGCGGAAUAAUGCCCCGUGUCUCUCUCUCUCAAAGCGGAAUAAUGCCCCGUGUCUCUCUCUCUCUCAGCGGAAUAAUGCCCCGUGUCUCUCUCUCAAAGCGGAAUAAUGCCCCGUGUCUCUCUCAAAGCGGAAUAAUGCCCCGUGUCUCUCUCUCUCAAAGCGGAAUAAUGCCCCGUGUCUCUCUCUCUCAAAGCGGAAUAAUGCCCCGUGUCUCUCUCUCUCUCAGCGGAAUAAUGCCCCGUGUCUCUCUCUCAAAGCGGAAUAAUGCCCCGUGUCUCUCUCUCAAAGCGGAAUAAUGCCCCGUGUCUCUCUCUCAAAGCGGAAUAAUGCCCCGUGUCUCUCUCUCUCAGCGGAAUAAUGCCCCGUGUCUCUCUCUCAAAGCGGAAUAAUGCCCCGUGUCUCUCUCUCUCAAAGCGGAAUAAUGCCCCGUGUCUCUCUUUCUCAAAGCGGAAUAAUGCCCCGUGUCUCUCUUUCUCAAAGCGGAAUAAUGCCCCGUGUCUCUCUUUCUCAAAGCGGAAUAAUGCCCCGUGUCUCUCUUUCUCAAAGCGGAAUAAUGCCCCGUGUCUCUCUUUCUCAAAGCGGAAUAAUGCCCCGUGUCUCUCUCUCAAAGCGGAAUAAUGCCCCGUGUCUCUCUCUCAAAGCGGAAUAAUGCCCCGUGUCUCUCUCUCAAAGCGGAAUAAUGCCCCGUGUCUCUCUCUCAAAGCGGAAUAAUGCCCCGUGUCUCUCUCUCAAAGCGGAAUAAUGCCCCGUGUCUCUCUCUCAAAGCGGAAUAAUGCCCCGUGUCUGUGGAGAGGAGGUUGUUGUGUGACUGUCUAUGUUUAUGGCAGCAUGUAGUCCUCACUCAGGGCUGUGUGUAUGGCAGCAUGUAGUCCUCACUCAGGGCUGUGUUUAUGGCAGCAUGUAGUCCUCACUCAGGGCUGUGUUUAUGGCAGCAUGUAGUCCUCACUCAGGGCUGUGUUUAUGGCAGCAUGUAGUCCUCACUCAGGGCUGUGUGUAUGGCAGCAUGUAGUCCUCACUCAGGGCUGUGUGUAUGGCAGCAUGUAGUCCUCACUCAGGGCUGUGUGUAUGGCAGCAUGUAGUCCUCACUCAGGGCUGUGUUUAUGGCAGCAUCUAGUCCUCACUCAGGGCUGUGUUUAUGGCAGCAGGUAGUCCUCACUCAGGGCUGUGUUUAUGGCAGCAGGUAGUCCUCACUCAGGGCUGUGUUUAUGGCAGCAGGUAGUCCUCACUCAGGGCUGUGUUUAUGGCAGCAGGUAGUCCUCUCAGGGCUGUGUUUAUGGCAGCAGGUAGUCCUCACUCAGGGCUGUGUUUAUGGCAGCAUGUCGUCCUCACUCAGGGCUGUGUGUAUGGCAGCAUGUAGUCCUCACUCAGGGCUGUGUUUAUGGCAGCAGGUAGUCCUCACUCAGGGCUGUGUUUAUGGCAGCAGGUAGUCCUCACUCAGGGCUGUGUUUAUGGCAGCAGGUAGUCCUCACUCAGGGCUGUGUUUAUGGCAGCAUCUAGUCCUCACUCAGGGCUGUGUGUAUGGCAGCAGGUCGUCCUCACUCAGGGCUGUGUUUAUGGCAGCAGGUAGUCCUCACUCAGGGCUGUGUGUAUGGCAGCAGGUAGUCCUCACUCAGGGCUGUGUUUAUGGCAGCAUGUAGUCCUCACUCAGGGCUGUGUUUAUGGCAGCAGGUAGUCCUCACUCAGGGCUGUGUUUAUGGCAGCAGGUAGUCCUCACUCAGGGCUGUGUUUAUGGCAGCAGGUAGUCCUCACUCAGGGCUGUGUUUAUGGCAGCAGGUAGUCCUCACUCAGGGCUGUGUUUAUGGCAGCAGGUAGUCCACUCAGGGCUGUGUUUAUGGCAGCAGGUAGUCCUCACUCAGGGCUGUGUUUAUGGCAGCAGGUAGUCCUCACUCAGGGCUGUGUUUAUGGCAGCAGGUAGUCCACUCAGGGCUGUGUUUAUGGCAGCAGGUAGUCCUCACUCAGGGCUGUGUUUAUGGCAGCAUGUAGUCCUCACUCAGGGCUGUGUUUAUGGCAGCAUGUAGUCCUCACUCAGGGCUGUGUUUAUGGCAGCAGGUAGUCCUCACUCAGGGCUGUGUUUAUGGCAGCAUGUAGUCCUCUCAGGGCUGUGUUUAUGGCAGCAUGUAGUCCUCACUCAGGGCUGUGUUUAUGGCAGCAGGUAGUCCUCACUCAGGGCUGUGUUUAUGGCAGCAUGUAGUCCUCACUCAGGGCUGUGUUUAUGGCAGCAUGUAGUCCUCACUCAGGGCUGUGUUUAUGGCAGCAGGUAGUCCUCACUCAGGGCUGUGUUUAUGGCAGCAGGUAGUCCUCACUCAGGGCUGUGUUUAUGGCAGCAGGUAGUCCUCACUCAGGGCUGUGUUUAUGGCAGCAUGUAGUCCUCACUCAGGGCUGUGUUUAUGGCAGCAUGUAGUCCUCACUCAGGGCUGUGUUUAUGGCAGCAUGUAGUCCUCACUCAGGGCUGUGUUUAUGGCAGCAGGUAGUCCACUCAGGGCUGUGUUUAUGGCAGCAGGUAGUCCUCACUCAGGGCUGUGUUUAUGGCAGCAGGUAGUCCUCACUCAGGGCUGUGUUUAUGGCAGCAGGUAGUCCACUCAGGGCUGUGUUUAUGGCAGCAGGUAGUCCUCACUCAGGGCUGUGUUUAUGGCAGCAUGUAGUCCUCACUCAGGGCUGUGUUUAUGGCAGCAGGUAGUCCUCACUCAGGGCUGUGUUUAUGGCAGCAUGUAGUCCUCUCAGGGCUGUGUUUAUGGCAGCAUGUAGUCCUCACUCAGGGCUGUGUUUAUGGCAGCAGGUAGUCCUCACUCAGGGCUGUGUUUAUGGCAGCAUGUAGUCCUCACUCAGGGCUGUGUUUAUGGCAGCAUGUAGUCCUCACUCAGGGCUGUGUUUAUGGCAGCAGGUAGUCCUCACUCAGGGCUGUGUUUAUGGCAGCAGGUAGUCCUCACUCAGGGCUGUGUUUAUGGCAGCAGGUAGUCCUCACUCAGGGCUGUGUUUAUGGCAGCAGGUAGUCCUCACUCAGGGCUGUGUUUAUGGCAGCAGGUAGUCCUCACUCAGGGCUGUGUUUAUGGCAGCAGGUAGUCCUCACUCAGGGCUGUGUUUAUGGCAGCAUGUAGUCCUCACUCAGGGCUGUGUUUAUGGCAGCAUGUAGUCCUCACUCAGGGCUGUGUUUAUGGCAGCAGGUAGUCCUCACUCAGGGCUGUGUUUAUGGCAGCAUGUCGUCCUCACUCAGGGCUGUGUUUAUGGCAGCAGGUAGUCCUCACUCAGGGCUGUGUUUAUGGCAGCAUGUAGUCCUCACUCAGGGCUGUGUUUAUGGCAGCAUGUAGUCCUCACUCAGGGCUGUGUUUAUGGCAGCAUCUAGUCCUCACUCAGGGCUGUGUUUAUGGCAGCAUCUAGUCCUCACUCAGGGCUGUGUUUAUGGCAGCAGGUAGUCCUCACUCAGGGCUGUGUUUAUGGCAGCAGGUAGUCCUCACUCAGGGCUGUGUUUAUGGCAGCAGGUCGUCCUCACUCAGGGCUGUGUUUAUGGCAGCAGGUAGUCCUCACUCAGGGCUGUGUUUAUGGCAGCAUGUAGUCCUCACUCAGGGCUGUGUUUAUGGCAGCAGGUAGUCCUCACUCAGGGCUGUGUUUAUGGCAGCAGGUAGUCCUCACUCAGGGCUGUGUUUAUGGCAGCAGGUCGUCCUCACUCAGGGCUGUGUUUAUGGCAGCAGGUAGUCCUCACUCAGGGCUGUGUGUAUGGCAGCAUCUAGUCCUCACUCAGGGCUGUGUUUAUGGCAGCAUGUAGUCCUCUCAGGGCUGUGUUUAUGGCAGCAUCUAGUCCUCACUCAGGGCUGUGUUUAUGGCAGCAUGUAGUCCUCACUCAGGGCUGUGUUUAUGGCAGCAUGUAGUCCUCUCAGGGCUGUGUGUAUGGCAGCAGGUAGUCCUCUCAGGGCUGUGUUUAUGGCAGCAUGUCGUCCUCACUCAGGGCUGUGUUUAUGGCAGCAGGUAGUCCUCACUCAGGGCUGUGUUUAUGGCAGCAUGUCGUCCUCACUCAGGGCUGUGUUUAUGGCAGCAUGUAGUCCUCACUCAGGGCUGUGUUUAUGGCAGCAUCUAGUCCUCUCAGGGCUGUGUUUAUGGCAGCAUGUAGUCCUCAAUCAGGGCUGUGUUUAUGGCAGCAUCUAGUCCUCUCAGGGCUGUGUGUAUGGCAGCAUGUCGUCCUCACUCAGGGCUGUGUUUAUGGCAGCAUGUCGUCCUCACUCAGGGCUAUGUUUAUGGCAGCAGGUAGUCCUCACUCAGGGCUGUGUUUUAUGGCAGCAUGUAGUCCUCUCAGGGCUGUGUUUAUGGCAGCAGGUAGUCCUCACUCAGGGCUGUGUGUAUGGCAGCAUGUAGUCCUCACUCAGGGCUGUGUUUAUGGCAGCAUCUAGUCCUCACUCAGGGCUGUGUUUAUGGCAGCAUGUAGUCCUCACUCAGGGCUGUGUUUAUGGCAGCAUGUAGUCCUCUCAGGGCUGUGUGUAUGGCAGCAGGUAGUCCUCUCAGGGCUGUGUUUAUGGCAGCAUGUCGUCCUCACUCAGGGCUGUGUUUAUGGCAGCAGGUAGUCCUCACUCAGGGCUGUGUUUAUGGCAGCAUGUCGUCCUCACUCAGGGCUGUGUUUAUGGCAGCAGGUAGUCCUCUCAGGGCUGUGUUUAUGGCAGCAUGUAGUCCUCACUCAGGGCUGUGUUUAUGGCAGCAGGUAGUCCUCACUCAGGGCUGUGUUUAUGGCAGCAUGUAGUCCUCACUCAGGGCUGUGUUUAUGGCAGCAUGUAGUCCUCACUCAGGGCUGUGUUUAUGGCAGCAUGUAGUCCUCACUCAGGGCUGUGUGUUUAUGGCAGCAUGUCGUCCUCACUCAGGGCUGUGUUUAUGGCAGCAUGUAGUCCUCUCAGGGCUGUGUUUAUGGCAGCAGGUCGUCCUCACUCAGGGCUGUGUGUAUGGCAGCAUGUCGUCCUCACUCAGGGCUGUGUUUAUGGCAGCAGGUAGUCCUCACUCAGGGCUGUGUUUAUGGCAGCAGGUAGUCCUCUCAGGGCUGUGUUUAUGGCAGCAGGUAGUCCUCACUCAGGGCUGUGUUUAUGGCAGUAGGUAGUCCUCACUCAGGGCUGUGUUUAUGGCAGCAUGUAGUCCUCACUCAGGGCUGUGUUUAUGGCAGCAGGUAGUCCUCACUCAGGGCUGUGUUUAUGGCAGCAUGUAGUCCUCACUCAGGGCUGUGUUUAUGGCAGCAUGUAGUCCUCACUCAGGGCUGUGUUUAUGGCAGCAGGUAGUCCUCACUCAGGGCUGUGUUUAUGGCAGCAGGUAGUCCUCACUCAGGGCUGUGUUUAUGGCAGCAGGUAGUCCUCUCAGGGCUGUGUUUAUGGCAGCAUGUAGUCCUCACUCAGGGCUGUGUUUAUGGCAGCAGGUAGUCCUCACUCAGGGCUGUGUUUAUGGCAGCAGGUAGUCCUCACUCAGGGCUGGUCUUCAGCCAACAACUGUCUACCACCGUCCUUGUACGGCUUUACUUUGGUUGUGUGGACAACAAGUUUUUUUCUGUAAACUAUAAUCUUUUGGGGAUUGAGUAUGGAUAUUGGUGAAUGUGUUUCUCUGUGCUUAUUGUCCAGGCAGUGAUUUUAAUUUGAGAAGAAAAUUGACCUUUAAAAGUUAAGAUGUUUGUGAUAUGCAUUGUGAGUGAGGUGUUGAUCGUCAUCAGGGCCUGUAUCCUUAAAUUGUCUGACUAAAAGUGCUGAUCUAGGAUCAGUUUGUCCUUUCACAUCAUAAUUGAUGAGAUGAUAUGGACAGGUGGGUUCCUGAUCCUAGAUCAGCUACUCUGAGACACUAUGCGGAUACAGGCCCAGAUGUUACUGCUCUCUUAAAUAAUGCUAUUCAAAUCACAUUGUAUUUGUCACGUGCGACAAAUACAGCAGGUGUAGGUAGACCUUACCGUGAAAUGCUUACUUACAGGCCCUUAACCAACAAUGCAGU